CUGCAAUGUCUAUCACCACACAUCUUCUAAUAUAAUUUCUCAACUUCAAUUACUCUGAUUUCUUCUAUAUUCGCAACUCUAUCUUGAAUCCUCUCAUCAGAUCCCUAAUUUCAGUUCUGUAUCGUGUAUGCCACGUCUUCAUGUAUCACUAAGUACUGUAAAGUUAUAAAUAUCUCAAAAUGAGCCAUAUCAGCUAUUAAACUGCCCGCGCUCAAUAUGUUUCACUUGGAUUUCUCAUGAAGUUGCACGAAUUAUUUUUCCG
Molecule: non-coding RNA, 262 nt
Organism: Paramuricea clavata
Lineage: Eukaryota; Metazoa; Cnidaria; Anthozoa; Malacalcyonacea; Plexauridae
Source: the annotation of a GenBank genome assembly